RNAcentral lists this ribosomal RNA (301 nucleotides) under uncultured bacterium. Its description in RNAcentral is "partial 16S ribosomal RNA". It matches the Rfam family "Bacterial small subunit ribosomal RNA", at positions 509 to 807 of the family's 1533-position model. The record is from RNAcentral.
CAGUAGCCGCGGUAAUACGAAGGGGGCUAGCGUUGCUCGGAAUUACUGGGCGUAAAGGGAGCGUAGGCGGAUCGUUAAGUUGGGGGUGAAAGCCCGGGGCUCAACCUCGGAACUGCAUUCAAUACUGGCGAUCUUGAGUGCAGAAGAGGAGAGUGGAAUUCCACGUGUAGCGGUGAAAUGCGUAGAGAUGUGGAGGAACACCAGUGGCGAAGGCGACUCUCUGGUCUGUAACUGACGCUGAGGAGCGAAAGCGUGGGGAGCGAACAGGAUUAGAUACCCGCGUAGUCCCUGUCUCUUAUAC